AUGCUUGUUAAACUGCAUAAAAGUUAAAAAUGUGGUUUGAAGUUAAUACAGACGACCAAAUGGACAUUCAAGAGACUUCAAAGAACUUAGUAACCUCUUUUCACGACAAGCGGCCAACGAGUUCUCACGGCGUAUAAGGCAUAUACGACGUUCAAGGCGUACAUGGUGUGAAGUUGGAUGUACCAAAGAGACCCGAUGUGCCCACAGCAAUAAACGCCCGUUGCAAA
Molecule: long non-coding RNA, 227 nt
Organism: Micropterus dolomieu (smallmouth bass)
Lineage: Eukaryota; Metazoa; Chordata; Actinopteri; Centrarchiformes; Centrarchidae
Exons: 2
Source: RefSeq, a predicted model, not a curated record